UAUUAAAAUUUUCAUCUAUUUCUAUUGUUAAAAAAUGGUAUAGUUGAUAGAAUAACCGAAUAGUUGCACGUGGUGUGCCACAUGUACCUAAUGUUGAUAUACAAUGACCAGAUUUUGAUAGCAGAAAUGAAUGAAAUUUUUAACA
Non-coding RNA from Gossypium hirsutum (cotton), 145 nucleotides. Lineage: Eukaryota; Viridiplantae; Streptophyta; Magnoliopsida; Malvales; Malvaceae. The record is from Rfam.